RNAcentral lists this ribosomal RNA (712 nucleotides) under uncultured bacterium. Its description in RNAcentral is "bacterial SSU rRNA". It matches the Rfam family "Bacterial small subunit ribosomal RNA", at positions 36 to 737 of the family's 1533-position model. The record is from RNAcentral.
CUGGCGGCAGGCCUAACACAUGCAAGUCGAACGGUAGCACAGAGAGCUUGCUCUCGGGUGACGAGUGGCGGACGGGUGAGUAAUGUCUGGGAAACUGCCUGAUGGAGGGGGAUAACUACUGGAAACGGUAGCUAAUACCGCAUAACGUCGCAAGACCAAAGAGGGGGACCUUCGGGCCUCUUGCCAUCAGAUGUGCCCAGAUGGGAUUAGCUAGUAGGUGGGGUAACGGCUCACCUAGGCGACGAUCCCUAGCUGGUCUGAGAGGAUGACCAGCCACACUGGAACUGAGACACGGUCCAGACUCCUACGGGAGGCAGCAGUGGGGAAUAUUGCACAAUGGGCGCAAGCCUGAUGCAGCCAUGCCGCGUGUAUGAAGAAGGCCUUCGGGUUGUAAAGUACUUUCAGCGGGGAGGAAGGUGUUGUGGUUAAUAACCACAGCAAUUGACGUUACCCGCAGAAGAAGCACCGGCUAACUCCGUGCCAGCAGCCGCGGUAAUACGGAGGGUGCAAGCGUUAAUCGGAAUUACUGGGCGUAAAGCGCACGCAGGCGGUCUGUCAAGUCGGAUGUGAAAUCCCCGGGCUCAACCUGGGAACUGCAUUCAAAACUGGCAGGCUGGAGUCUUGUAGAGGGGGGUAAAAUUCCAGGUGUAGCGGUGAAAUGCGUAAAGAUCUGGANGAAUACCNGGUGGCNAAGGCGGCCCCCCUGGACAAA